AGAAUUCAAUAGAGGUUAGUGAAGGAGAAAACAUUGAAAAGUAGGACAGUGCCGAAGGAUGCUAAGAAUUCAAUAGAGGUUAGUGAAGGAGAAAACAUUGAAAAGUAGAACAAUGCCGAAGGAUGCUAAGAAUUCAAUAGAGGUUAGUGAAGGAGAAAACAUUGAAAAGUAGAACAAUGCCGAAGGAUGCUAAGAAUUCAAUAGAGGUUAGUGAAGGAGAAAACAUUGAAAAGUAGGACAAUGCCGAAGGAUGCUAAGAAUUCGAUAGAGGUUAGUGAAGGAGAAAACAUUUAAAAGUAGGACAAUGCCGAAGGAUGCUAAGAAUUUAAUAGAGGUUAGUGAAGGAGAAAACAUUGAAAAGUAGGACAAUGCCGAGGGAUGCUAAGAAUUUAAUAGAGGUUAGUGAAGGAGAAAACAUUGAAAAGUAGGACAAUGCCGGAGGAUGCUAAGAAUUCAAUAGAGGUUAGUGAAGGAGAAAACAUUGAAAAGUAGGACAAUGCCGGAGGAUGCUAAGAAUUCAAUAGAGGUUAGUGAAGGAGAAAACAUUGAAAAGUAGAACAAUGCCGGAGGAUGCUAAGAAUUCAAUAGAAGUUAGUGAAGGAGAAAACAUUGAAAAGUAGAACAAUGCCGGAGGAUGCUAAGAAUUCAAUAGAAGUUAGUGAAGGAGAAAACAUUGAAAAGUAGAACAAUGCCGGAGGAUGCUUAGAAU
This is a long non-coding RNA of Eriocheir sinensis (Chinese mitten crab), 709 nucleotides long. RefSeq lists it as uncharacterized. The transcript has 3 exons. NCBI's taxonomy places the organism in Eukaryota, Metazoa, Arthropoda, Malacostraca, Decapoda, Varunidae. The record is from RefSeq and is a predicted model, not a curated record.